RNAcentral lists this long non-coding RNA (804 nucleotides) under Papio anubis (olive baboon). RNAcentral's name for it is "lncRNA (ENSPANG00000045061.1)". Lineage: Eukaryota; Metazoa; Chordata; Mammalia; Primates; Cercopithecidae. The record is from RNAcentral.
CAAAUGUUAAAAUGGUAUGAAGAGUAUGGUCUCAUGGUGAUAAAAGAAAAAAUAUGUUUGUAUACACAGAGGAAAGACUAGAAGGUUCUGUACCUGUUAAUGGUGACUGAUCCUAGAAGAGCGAAAUUUAGGCCUUCCAUCCCUGAGGAGAGAGUGAAUGGCAGCAAGGAGUAGGGUGAUUUGGUCUUCCCUUCAACCUGUUGCUACCCAACACAAGGACAAUUGGUCUUCCACCCUCUUCACAGUUCAUUCAGUCAUUGUCCCUGUCUCCCAGGAUGUGAGGCUCUGGAAAUACACUGAGGAAGAAAGUGCAAUCUUUGAAGAUGCAAUGGAAAAUUUUCCACAAAGAGUACUGUUAAAAUAAUGCCUUCAUUAUGAGAGAUUUGGGAAUUUUGUUUUGUUUUGUUUUGUUUUGAGACGUAGUCUUGCUCUGUCACCCAGGCUGGAGUGCAACGGCAUGAUCUCAGGAUUUGGGAAUUCUGAUGUCAAAGUCCAGUUAAUUUCUUGAAAGGCAAAACUGUGUUGUCUACUUUACCAACAUUAGUAAACCUGGUGUAUUCAAAUACCGAGUCCUGAAAGCCAAAUGGAUUCUGGUCCUUUUAAGGUGUUUCUGACAAGGCAGUAUGUCCAAGAGCACCUAGUUCAGAGUAAAUACCUAUUUACUCCUCUUUUUCCUUCAAUAGCUUCUUGACUCAUCUAAAUAUGAUCUGUGGUUUUCUUCAGAAAUUACCAUUUCCCACCAUCAAAAACUGAAAACUUCUGAGAGCAAAUUUAAUCUACUUUUGAGGAAUAUCAGAAGGAUUC